Molecule: transfer RNA, 74 nt
Filed under: Candidatus Woesearchaeota archaeon
Lineage: Archaea; Nanobdellati; Candidatus Woesearchaeota
Description: tRNA-Lys
Rfam family: tRNA
About the family: Transfer RNA (tRNA) molecules are approximately 80 nucleotides in length. Their secondary structure includes four short double-helical elements and three loops (D, anti-codon, and T loops). Further hydrogen bonds mediate the characteristic L-shaped molecular structure. tRNAs have two regions of fundamental functional importance: the anti-codon, which is responsible for specific mRNA codon recognition, and the 3' end, to which the tRNAs corresponding amino acid is attached (by aminoacyl-tRNA synthetases). tRNAs cope with the degeneracy of the genetic code in two manners: having more than one tRNA (with a specific anti-codon) for a particular amino acid; and 'wobble' base-pairing, i.e. permitting non-standard base-pairing at the 3rd anti-codon position.
Source: RNAcentral
GGACUGGUAGCUCAGCUUGGUAGAGCACUUGGCUUUUAACCAAGGGGUCGCGGGUUCAAAUCCCGUCCGGUCCA